UAGUGAACCACACGGUUCCCCCGCUCCUGCGAAACAAAAUGCUCUUUCCAUUCGACGAAACAGUGACUGCUUCCAGUCAUCUUGACAGAAAGGACCACAAAGGAGCUUAUAGAACACCAGAAACCCACUGGUAAUCCUAAUUACAUAACCAAAGAUGCCCAAUGGUAAUGGUAAGAGGUUAAAACCCCACUCAAUGGAUGCCUAAACAGUUACAAUUGCGCAAUUUUCAAACUAAGCUACAAUUUUGCA
RNAcentral lists this unclassified non-coding RNA (249 nucleotides) under Hevea brasiliensis (rubber tree). The record is from RNAcentral. Lineage: Eukaryota; Viridiplantae; Streptophyta; Magnoliopsida; Malpighiales; Euphorbiaceae.